This is a non-coding RNA of Misgurnus anguillicaudatus (oriental weatherfish), 1963 nucleotides long. Lineage: Eukaryota; Metazoa; Chordata; Actinopteri; Cypriniformes; Cobitidae. The record is from RefSeq and is a predicted model, not a curated record.
GGACCCACUUUUUAUAACCAAUAAUAUUUUCUCUAAUUUAACGGAUAUGUCUGUUCACUUGUCAGAACGUCAUCAGUCAAAUCUAUUCCACUAUAAAUGCACUAAUAAAUUAAACUCUGUUCCGUGUUUUAGCUACAGCCUUGACUUUCACGCUGCUGCUUCCUCAACUCCAUUCCAUUCGAGUUCAUGAAAUUUAAACUCCAUUUCGUGUUUUCGCUACUUUCGUCUGCUGCAAUCCCGCGGCCCGCCAGCGCGACACAACAAGGGAUCAACCUGCCGGUUCUAAGACUAUUUGUGCUUCCUUUUGCCUUUCUCAGAUAUGCACACUAGCGCGGAGGGAUAGACGAACGAUCUGCAUCUAUCACCAAGCCCAGGAGUACAGCCCCAAGCUUUCCCCCGCCAGCAAUCAGCAUGCACGCUUCACCUUCGACUCAUUUACAAACUGUCAGCUUCUCAAGCAGGAACCUGGCCCUCAUGAUCCACUGUUACCCUGGGCCAGCUAGUCCUGGGAUGUGUUACAUUGCAGGGAUUAACGGAAUUUGUCACCAUACAGCCUGAUGUUCAUUCACGGCACGACUUCUGCUCAGCGAGUAUACAAGCAACCUCUGGCUGCAUGCUGAUGCCUCGAUCUCAAUGCAAAAGCUUCUUCUGUCCUCAACAACAACUCAUUUUAGAGCUUAACAGCGAGUGAAGAAGAAAACAGAAGAGCUUGAUAUGAAACACAAAGAGGAGCCCAUGAGCGUGCCAGUGUAACAGAUUCACCCAUGGCCCUGCGGCGGUGGCCGAUGCCUAGUAAACACCGACUUGACAUCAUGGUGACUUAAAAUCUACCUAUGCUACAGAUGAAACCUGUCUGGAGCCACCGUCAUUUAUUUCUUGGAAGGAGCUAUUGCAGUGCUCGCUGCAGAGUUGCCAUGGAGAUCUGCCUCCAUGUUUCACAAGAAAGAAUCUCCCACACUCGGUGUGCAACUAGGUGACCAUAAUGGUUAGCUGAGCCCUAAACGCAUCUCUGUAUCUCUAUCAACUUCAGCAAGGUCAGAACUGUAAGGAGGCAGAGAGGCUGGCUGAGGUGAGUGAAGUAGGUCUGCAGGAGCCUGUGACUGCUUUGUUGUAAAGAUCAAACAGUCCUGAGAUGGAGAAGCUCCAGCGAGCAUGGUUUUACCUCAGUGUGACAUACUUUCGAGGUUGUCAACGCAGCAGAAAUUAUAGCCAUACAAAGGACCAUGCAUCUGAAUGCGUGCACAGUGAUGGGUUGUGUUGUGACAGUGCAUUUUUAUCGUUCACCAUGAGACAGAUGUCUGGGAUUUGUCCUGCCCUGAGAUAAUCCGCCCUCUUCAAUGAGAACAUGAGCCAGGAGUCAGACCUUGCCUGUGGAUGUGUGAGACAAGCCUGACGAGAGAGAGAGAGAGAGAGAGAGAGAGAGAGAGAGAGAGAGAGAGAGAGAGAGAGAGAGAGAGAGAGGUGUGCAAAAGGUCAACCCGCCCAGCCUGCUGUCCAUAACUGCAUGUGUAUAAUCCCAUAUGGCUCAUCACAAUAAGCCGGCAAGUAUUACUCUUACUCUCAAAGCCUCUUGUGCCCUUCUUUAGUGUAAAUGUGGACAGACAUUCUGUGUUUGUUGUCAUUAGGGUUGAAAAUUUUGUAGAAUUUAACUGGGUCCAAUUCCGAGGCCGGCUAAUGAUUCAGAGUCCUUGAAGAUUCCAUUAGCGAUGCUUUUAGUACUUUUGAGGGAGCUCACUAAUCUAAACUAAACUAAAAUAAUAAACAAAACAAUAUUGUUUUAAUGCUUAUUUUUAUGCACACCACAAUUUAGUGCAACAAAACCGUGAACAUGUACGUCAGGAGUCUUCAACUACUCUUCUUCGAGGGCCAGAUUUUAAAAAUGUAAAUAUGAUGCAGGCCAAACUUUUACUCCUAUUUUAACCUUUAUAUAUUUUUUACUUUUACCUAUUUUUAUUAUUAUUAU